Long non-coding RNA from Vidua chalybeata, 481 nucleotides. RefSeq lists it as uncharacterized. The transcript is spliced from 2 exons. Lineage: Eukaryota; Metazoa; Chordata; Aves; Passeriformes; Viduidae. The record is from RefSeq and is a predicted model, not a curated record.
UCCCUCACCAACCAUAAAAAAAAUGGGGGGAAAACCAAAAAAAAAAAAAAUCGGGGGCGGAAUCUCAGCAAACGGGAAUGAAAAAAAUUUGGGGGGGGGGAUUGAAAAAAUUGGGGGGACCCCCCCCCCCCUUGACGGGAUUUGGGGUGGCCAAAUUUUGGGGUUUGUGGCCAGGGUCACCUGGUGGUUCUGCGCCUUCCCCUAUUCCCUGCUGAUCUUCGCCUACGACGAGGUGAGGAAACUGAUCCUGAGGCGCUACCCCGGAGGCUGGGUGGAGAAGGAAACCUAUUAUUGAUCCUAUUAUCGAUCCUAUUAUCGAUCCUAUUAUCGAUCCUAUUAUCGAUCCCUUCCCCCCCUUUUGGGACCCCCGGAGCCCCCCCCGCACCCCAAAACUAACCCGGGGGGGCUCGGGACCCCCCUGAAUUUGGGGGGGCACCCGGACCCCCCCCCCCCCGGAGAGCAAUAAACCAGUUUAACCCCC